GUAGGGAAUAUUGCGCAAUGGGGGAAACCCUGACGCAGCGACGCCGCGUGAGUGAUGAAGGACUUCGGUUCGUAAAGCUCUGUCGCAGGGGAAUAAAUUUGAAUGUACCCUGUAAGAAAGGAUCGGCUAACUUCGUGCCAGCAGCCGCGGUAAGACGAGGGAUCCUAGCGUUGUUCGGAAUCAUUGGGCGUAAAGCGGGUGUAGGUUGCUCUAUAAGUCAGAUGUGAAAGCCCUGGGCUUAACCCAGGAAGUGCAUUUGAUACUGCAGAGCUUGAGUGUGGGAGAGGCUAGUGGAAUUCCUGGUGUAGUGGUGAAAUACGUAGAUAUCAGGAGGAACAUCGGUGGCGAAGGCGGCUAGCUGGCCCAACACUGACACUGAGACCCGAAAGCGUGGGGAUCAAACAGGAUUAGAAACCCCAGUAGUCC
RNAcentral lists this ribosomal RNA (426 nucleotides) under uncultured bacterium. RNAcentral's name for it is "bacterial SSU rRNA". It matches the Rfam family "Bacterial small subunit ribosomal RNA", at positions 354 to 796 of the family's 1533-position model. The record is from RNAcentral.